GGUUGGUUAUCCUGUGUGUGUGUGUAAAACUUUCGUCGUUUUAGUGUCUGCAAACAGUGCUUCACUGGUUUCAGAGUAUUAUUUAUUGCUAAGUGCAGCAUAAUUUAUUUGCGCUGUACAGAAGUUGCGUUUGUUCCCGCGCAACCCUGAGUUUCGGUUUCGGGUGACCACGUGACUAGCUUUGUUGUGAUAAGUAGCAUUAAGGCGUGGCUGCUUUUUUUCCACUGAACAGCUCGUAAAAGUUGUUAUUUAUUGGACUUAAUGCUGACGCGGAAGCGGCAGCGGAAGUGGUGGCCCUCGUGUGAAGCCCUCCUUGUGUGAAGACCUACUUGGGUAAAGACCAGCGAGUCUACCUGUGCGAGUCCACCGAGCAAGAACACCGACAAGGCUCCACUCACCAAAGCACUUAAACCGUUCACAAGAUACAGAUGCAAGACAAAACGCAACCCACACAACCUACGGCCGCUUUGCACUUCAACACCUGCUCCACUCUCGUUCUCAGUGGGACUCUGGAACUGCCAGUCUGCUGUGAACAAAGCUGCCUUCAUUCCGGCUUUCGCCACGCAGUCCACCCUCAGCAUCCUGGCACUGACAGAGACAUGGAUACGUCCUGAGGAUACAGCAACACCUGCUGCUCUCUCUAACAACUUCUCCUUCUCCCACACCCCUCGACAUACUGGUAGGGGUGGGGGAACAGGUCAGCUGACAAGCUUUCUUGAGGAAUUGGAUGUCCUGCUGUCCUCCUUGCCAGAGGAUGGCAGGCCACUUGUGGUUCUUGGUGAUUUCAACAUACACCAGGACAAACCCCAGGCCAUUGAACUGAAUACUCUUCUGGCCUCAUUUGACUUGGAAAGACUACACACCACAGCAACUCACAGACCAGCACGGACUACACCACCCAGCCCCUGGCUGUCUGACAUCCUUCGUGAACAUCGGACUGUUCUCAGGGCAGCUGAGAGGAGAUGGCGGAAAUCUAAAGAUCCAGCUGAUCUAGGUAAAUAUCAGCUUCUGCUCGCAACUUUUUCAAAUAACGUUAAAACUGCAAAAACUUCAUAUUACCAGACCAAAAUCAACAGCACCACAGACACUCGUAGCUUGUUUAGAACAUUUAACACACUUCUCUGCC
Molecule: RNA transcript, 1126 nt
Organism: Xyrauchen texanus (razorback sucker)
Lineage: Eukaryota; Metazoa; Chordata; Actinopteri; Cypriniformes; Catostomidae
Exons: 4
Source: RefSeq, a predicted model, not a curated record